GCUGAGUAUGGUGGUGCAUGCCUGUAAUCUCAGUGAUUUGGGAGGCUGAGACAGGAGGAUUGCAUGUUUGAGGCCAACCUCAGCAGCUCAGUGAGGCCCUAAACAACUUAGUGAGACCCUGUCUUAA
This 127-nucleotide small RNA is filed under the name Marmota monax (woodchuck). Lineage: Eukaryota; Metazoa; Chordata; Mammalia; Rodentia; Sciuridae. The record is from RNAcentral.